AUACGAAGGUCCCGAGCGUUAUUCGGAAUCACUGGGCGUAAAGAGUAUGUAGGCGGUUUGGUAAGUCAGGUGUGAAAUCCCGGAGCUCAACUUCGGAACUGCAUCCGAUACUGCCAGACUAGAGUAAUGGAGAGGCAGGUGGAAUUCUCGGUGUAGCAGUGAAAUGCGUGGAUAUCGAGAGGAAGACCAAUGGCGAAGGCAGCCUGCUGGACAUUUUCUGACGCUGAGAUACGAAGGCUAGGGGAGCGAAAGGGAUUAGAAACCCGGGUAGUCC
RNAcentral lists this ribosomal RNA (274 nucleotides) under uncultured bacterium. Its description in RNAcentral is "partial 16S ribosomal RNA". It matches the Rfam family "Bacterial small subunit ribosomal RNA", at positions 523 to 796 of the family's 1533-position model. The record is from RNAcentral.